This 491-nucleotide ribosomal RNA is filed under the name uncultured bacterium. RNAcentral describes it as "bacterial SSU rRNA". It matches the Rfam family "Bacterial small subunit ribosomal RNA", at positions 29 to 515 of the family's 1533-position model. The record is from RNAcentral.
AUUGAACGCUGGCGGAAUGCUUUACACAUGCAAGUCGAGCGGCAGCGCGGGGCAACCUGGCGGCGAGCGGCGAACGGGUGAGUAAUACAUCGGAACGUGCCCAGACGUGGGGGAUAACUACUCGAAAGAGUGGCUAAUACCGCAUACGAUCUACGGAUGAAAGCGGGGGAUCGCAAGACCUCGCGCGUCUGGAGCGGCUGAUGGCAGAUUAGGUAGUUGGUGGGGUAACGGCUCACCAAGGCGAUGAUCAGUAGCCGGUCUGAGAGGAUGGCUGGCCACACUGGGAUUGAGAUACGGCCCAGACUCCUACGGGAGGCAGCAGUCUAGAAGCUUCGGCAAUGGGCGAAAGCCUGACCGAGCGACGCCGCGUGCAGGACGAAGGUCUUCGGAUUGUAAACUGCUUUCGACGGGGAUGAAAGGUAGGAGGGCGAAUACCCCCUUAUUUGACAGUACCCGCAGAAGAAGCCCUGGCCUAACUCCGUGCCAGCACG